UACGUAGGAGACGAGCGUUGUCCGGAGUUACUGGGCGUAAAGGGUGCGCAGGUGGCGGCGCGCGUGGGGGGUGAAAUCGCCCGGCUUAACUGGGCGGGGGCCUUCCAGACGGCGUGGCUUGAGCAGCGGAGGGGGACGUGGAAUUCCGGGUGGAGCGGUGAAAUGCGUAGAUAUCGGAAGGAACACCAGUGGCGAAAGCGGCUUCCUGGUCCAGCACCGACAUUCAGGCACGAAAGCGUGGGGAGCAAACAGG
This 253-nucleotide ribosomal RNA is filed under the name uncultured bacterium. Its description in RNAcentral is "partial 16S ribosomal RNA". It matches the Rfam family "Bacterial small subunit ribosomal RNA", at positions 524 to 776 of the family's 1533-position model. The record is from RNAcentral.